UACAGAGGUCCCAAGCGUUGUUCGGAGUUACUGGGCGUAAAGGGUGCGUAGGCGGCUUUUUAAGUCUGGUGUGAAAUCUCCCGGCUCAACUGGGAGGGUGCGCCGGAUACUGAGGGGCUAGAGUGUGGGAGAGGAAAGUGGAAUUCCUGGUGUAGCGGUGAAAUGCGUAGAUAUCAGGAGGAACACCGGUGGUGUAAACGGCUUUCUGGACCAUAACUGACGCUGAGGCACGAAAGCGUGGGUAGCAAACAGG
RNAcentral lists this ribosomal RNA (253 nucleotides) under uncultured bacterium. Its description in RNAcentral is "partial 16S ribosomal RNA". It matches the Rfam family "Bacterial small subunit ribosomal RNA", at positions 524 to 776 of the family's 1533-position model. The record is from RNAcentral.